GCCGAGGUAGCUCAGUACGGUAGAGCGGGGGCCUUGAAAACCUUGUGUCGCCGGUUCGAGUCCGGCCCUCGGCACCA
This 77-nucleotide transfer RNA is filed under the name Chloroflexota bacterium. RNAcentral describes it as "Chloroflexi bacterium tRNA-Ser". It matches the Rfam family "tRNA". From Rfam's summary of the family: Transfer RNA (tRNA) molecules are approximately 80 nucleotides in length. Their secondary structure includes four short double-helical elements and three loops (D, anti-codon, and T loops). The record is from RNAcentral. Lineage: Bacteria; Bacillati; Chloroflexota.